Molecule: ribosomal RNA, 478 nt
Filed under: uncultured bacterium
Lineage: Bacteria
Description: partial 16S ribosomal RNA
Rfam family: Bacterial small subunit ribosomal RNA
Source: RNAcentral
AACAAACGCUGGCGGCGUGCCUAAUACAUGCAAGUCGAACGGGGAAAGUAGCAAUACGAGUACUAGUGGCGCACGGGUGAGGAAUACAUGGGUAAUCUGCCCUCGAGUUUGGGAUAACCAGUCGAAAGAUUGGCUAAUACCGGAUAUGACCACAGGAUCUGCGGAUCUAGGGGUAAAAGGUUUUUCGCUCGAGGAUGAGCCCAUGUGGGAUUAGCUAGUUGGUGAGGUAACGGCUCACCAAGGCGACGAUCCCUAACUGGUCUUAGAGGAUGAUCAGUCACACUGGAACUGAGACACGGUCCAGACUCCUACGGGAGGCAGCAGUAGGGAAUAUUGCACAAUGGAGGAAACUCUGAUGCGGCGACGCCGCGUGAGUGAUGAAGGCCUUCGGGUCGUAAAGCUCUGUCGUAUGGGACUAACACAAUGAAGGUACCAUGCAAGAAAGGAUCGGCUAACUUCGUGCCAGCAGCCGCAGUAA